This 370-nucleotide ribosomal RNA is filed under the name Streptomyces sp. URI N1-78-1. RNAcentral's name for it is "bacterial SSU rRNA". It matches the Rfam family "Bacterial small subunit ribosomal RNA", at positions 145 to 527 of the family's 1533-position model. The record is from RNAcentral. Lineage: Bacteria; Bacillati; Actinomycetota; Actinomycetes; Kitasatosporales; Streptomycetaceae.
AAGCCCUGGAAACGGGGUCUAAUACCGGAUAUGACAUGCUCCCGCAUGGGAUGUGUGUGGAAAGCUCCGGCGGUGCAGGAUGAGCCCGCGGCCUAUCAGCUUGUUGGUGAGGUAGUGGCUCACCAAGGCGACGACGGGUAGCCGGCCUGAGAGGGCGACCGGCCACACUGGGACUGAGACACGGCCCAGACUCCUACGGGAGGCAGCAGUGGGGAAUAUUGCACAAUGGGCGGAAGCCUGAUGCUAGCGACGCCGCGUGAGGGAUGACGGCCUUCGGGUUGUAAACCUCUUUCAGCAGGGAAGAAGCGAGAGUGACGGUACCUGCAGAAGAAGCGCCGGCUAACUACGUGCCAGCAGCCGCGGUAAUACG